UGGACGUUUUAUUAAGGUGAGACAAACGUGGAAUAUGGGAUUUAAAUAGUAAAUACACCAGAAAAGAAACCAACAAUCCUAAAUUCAAAUAUAGGAUGGCACAGGUGACUGCUGUAGUAACAUCACUGGGAGAUUUUAUUUGGAAUCAGGUGUCAAUCCUGCCUCAUUCCCAACACUAACGUUAUGCCAACAUAUUAGAACAUAAUAAAUGUUAUGGACCUGACUGAUUUUCAUAAGAAAAGGGUGUUUUUUUUAAAGCCAGAAAUGGAACAUAUAGACAUUUCUGCAAUAACACCACAUUACAUCUAUAUUUAACAGUAAUAACAGCUCCUUCCUUCAAGACCACUAAAGGAAGACUACAGAGGCAUAAAUAUAGUCCUGGAAAAUGUUCCCUUAAGUACCCUCAUGCAGAACAUUCCCUUUAGAAGUGCUGCUUAGAAAUGUAAAGUUCCAAAUGCUCCAAAAAGAAAAAAUAAAAACCCUCACCAGGGUAUUUCCAAGAAGGCUGUGGAUAAAAGGAGCUGGUUGGACAAACCCCCUGCACUGAGGGGCUGGAAUCUAAACAGGGAAUUGGAAUCCGUCAUCUUGGAGGCUUUUCCCAACCUUAAUGACUGUGUGAUUUCAGAUUUUCUGCAGGAUGAAGGUUUCUGGAAUGGGCUGGCACUGUUCUGCAGGGAUCUGGUUCCACUUUCCCAAGAAUUCCAAAGGGAUGGAAUUCCAAAGGGCCUGGUUCUGCAGCUCCAACUUCACCUCCACCACAGGAUUCUCACCACUGAAUCAGGAAAUGCUCAUGGAAGUGAGAUGGUUUUCCCAAAAAUCCAGCACAGUUCCAUGUGGAUUCCCACAAAGUAAAGCCCUCAGUAACCUCUGCAUGUUGCUACAGGCACAAACUGCCCAGGAUGCUCUUCCAGGAUUUCCACUGCAUGGAUUUUUUUUCUUUCCAAGGGAAGCAGGUCAGAAAUGUGCAUGUGACACAGACCUACUUUGUGUCAGCUUGAUGGCAGCACUAAGAUUUUG
RNAcentral lists this long non-coding RNA (1017 nucleotides) under Cyanistes caeruleus (blue tit). Its description in RNAcentral is "lncRNA (ENSCCEG00000013660.1)". The record is from RNAcentral. Lineage: Eukaryota; Metazoa; Chordata; Aves; Passeriformes; Paridae.